CGGGGUGAGUAAUGCUUGGGAAUCUAGCUUAUGGAGGGGGAUAACUACGGGAAACUGUAGCUAAUACCGCGUAGAAUCGGGAGAUGAAAGUGUGGGACCUUCGGGCCACAUGCCAUAGGAUGAGCCCAAGUGGGAUUAGGUAGUUGGUGAGGUAAAGGCUCACCAAGCCGACGAUCUCUAGCUGAUCUGAGAGGUUGACCAGCCACACUGGGACUGAGACACGGCCCAG
Molecule: ribosomal RNA, 229 nt
Filed under: uncultured bacterium
Lineage: Bacteria
Description: partial 16S ribosomal RNA
Rfam family: Bacterial small subunit ribosomal RNA
Source: RNAcentral